This 250-nucleotide ribosomal RNA is filed under the name uncultured archaeon. RNAcentral describes it as "partial 16S ribosomal RNA". It matches the Rfam family "Archaeal small subunit ribosomal RNA", at positions 478 to 727 of the family's 1478-position model. The record is from RNAcentral.
GGCAGCCCGAGUGAUGGCCGAUAUUAUUGGGCCUAAAGCGUCCGUAGCUGGCCGGACAAGUCCGUUGGGAAAUCUGUUCGCUUAACGAGCAGGCGUCCAGCGGAAACUGUUCGGCUUGGGACCGGAAGACCUGAGGGGUACGUCCGGGGUAGGAGUGAAAUCCUGUAAUCCUGGACGGACCACCGGUGGCGAAAGCGCCUCAGGAGGACGGAUCCGACAGUGAGGGACGAAAGCUAGGGUCUCGAACCGG